Molecule: small nucleolar RNA, 139 nt
Filed under: Oryza nivara
Lineage: Eukaryota; Viridiplantae; Streptophyta; Magnoliopsida; Poales; Poaceae
Description: Small nucleolar RNA Z247
Rfam family: Small nucleolar RNA Z247
About the family: Z247 is a member of the C/D class of snoRNA which contain the C (UGAUGA) and D (CUGA) box motifs. Most of the members of the box C/D family function in directing site-specific 2'-O-methylation of substrate RNAs.
Source: Rfam by way of RNAcentral
CCAGUGGAUGACGAGUCGCUUGUGUCUUACAUUCUCGUUGGACUCGACAUCGACUACAAUCCUCUGGUAUCCACUGUUGUUGGUCGUUCUGAUCCAAUCUCUUUGAGUGACUUGUAUUCACAGAUGGUGAGCUAUGACA